CCCUCACUAUGUAGACUGGUGGAAGAAUUUAGGGCCCAUGCAGAAGGUGUGAACCCUAGCAUAGAACUACAUGAAAAUGCAAGGCAGCGAGCCACUCAUGUCAUCCGGUUUCUGGAAUUCAUGGCAGACCCAGCAAUUCCAAACGUUGACCUUCUGUUUCUGAGGAACCAUGGAAAAGUCCGUGAUUUUCUAGCACACCUGCAAGCAAAAGGGUUUAAACCAACAACUCAGAGAGCUUAUCUCAUGGAUGCUAUUGCUUUCAUGAAAUAUAUAUUAAACAUGUCACCACCACAAGUCAGACUUGGAAAUAAAAGGAUCAACGCCCUUUUGGUCGAACUGAGGGCACGUAACAGAGAUGUUGGCCGUGAAGUAGUCGUGCACCAGCUGAAUGUGCGGAGAUCUAAGUCUAAAAGACUUGUCAAAGCAGAAAAACAUGCUUUGUUCA
Long non-coding RNA from Oreochromis niloticus (Nile tilapia), 445 nucleotides. RefSeq lists it as uncharacterized. The record is from RefSeq and is a predicted model, not a curated record. The transcript has 4 exons. Lineage: Eukaryota; Metazoa; Chordata; Actinopteri; Cichliformes; Cichlidae.